Molecule: ribosomal RNA, 758 nt
Filed under: Pomphorhynchus tereticollis
Lineage: Eukaryota; Metazoa; Acanthocephala; Palaeacanthocephala; Echinorhynchida; Pomphorhynchidae
Description: s-rRNA
Source: RNAcentral
UAAGUGCGAUUAAAAUAACCCCCAACUAGUAAACUCAUUGAAAAAAUGGUGAAAAGUAAAAAAUGGGGGGGGGGCUCAAAACCGAUAACGAUUUUUAUAUGUUGUCAAUGUUUACCGUAAAUAUCUCAGGGAGCGGUUAGGCUUUAGGACUCAUACUCCUAAGAUGUAUUUCUCUGAUUAUCACUCAUUAAUGGUUUUUCAAACACAUAGCUAAUAUAAUAGCAAAAGUGGGGGUGCUUGCUAUAUUAACAUGGUAAUUUAUGAAAGUAAAUGCAGAGAUGCUAAUAGCCUAGUAAAAGUUGUGCCAGCGGCUGCGGUUAAACAGCUAGGGCGUUUGGGGUGUUUAUUGUAAGAGUUUGAGAAAAGCUUAUAGUGGUGAAAUAUGGGUAAGAUGGGAAAAUCUCUGUAAAGUAGGCUUAAGAAUCAGAUUAGAUACCUGAGUAUUCUACGUAUACAAUAAUUAUAUGGGGAAGAUCUAAAUAAUGUGGCGGUGCUCUUGAUAGGUAGGGGGACUUGGGUUUGGAUAGUAAACCUAAAUUAAUCUAGCUUAGUAGCCUCUUGUAUGAUUGAAUAUUUUUAGAAGAAAUUAUUCAAAUUUCAUAGGGGGUGAGUUAGUUUGCCUGAGUUUUGGUUUUAAUAAAAAUAAAGGAUUUACGAGUAGUUGAGUAGAGAUGAAGGCAUCAGGAGUGAGUACAUAUCGCCCGUCAACACCUCACAGGUGUAAGUCGUAACAUAGUGAUUCUACUUGAAAGUGGAGU